UCACACCAAUCAUCACAGUUUAUCCCAUCUUUCGUGCUUAAAGAAAAAGAAAGAACCGCCGCGCGCACGCAGCCGCCGGCGAACUGGCCCCGGAGGCGCCUCCUCCUUCCCAACCCCGCCCUAGCCCUUCUCCCCUGCUCGGCCUCCUCGCGCGCACGGCCGGCCGCCGGGUUUGGAGCCACCCCAGGGGGGGGGGGGGGGGGGGCGCGACGCUGCCGCCUGCCGGGGCCUCAUUCCACCGGCCUCCAUCUCGUUCGCAUCGAUUCCAAGGUAGCUUUUCUAAACAGUAAGGAGAUUUUGAGCUUCCCAUAA
RNAcentral lists this long non-coding RNA (312 nucleotides) under Oryza sativa Indica Group (long-grained rice). RNAcentral describes it as "lncRNA OsMH63_08G014460". The record is from RNAcentral. Lineage: Eukaryota; Viridiplantae; Streptophyta; Magnoliopsida; Poales; Poaceae.